This 497-nucleotide ribosomal RNA is filed under the name uncultured bacterium. RNAcentral's name for it is "partial 16S ribosomal RNA". It matches the Rfam family "Bacterial small subunit ribosomal RNA", at positions 28 to 507 of the family's 1533-position model. The record is from RNAcentral.
GAUGAACGCCGGCGGCGUGCCUAAUACAUGCAAGUCGAGCGAACAGACGAGGAGCUUGCUCCUCUGACGUUAGCGGCGGACGGGUGAGUAACACGUGGAUAACCUACCUAUAAGACUGGGAUAACUUCGGGAAACCGGAGCUAAUACCGGAUAAUAUAUUGAACCGCAUGGUUCAAUAGUGAAAGACGGUUUUGCUGUCACUUAUAGAUGGAUCCGCGCCGCAUUAGCUAGUUGGUAAGGUAACAGCUUACCAAGGCAACGAUGCGUAGCCGACCUGAGAGGGUGAUCGGCCACACUGGAACUGAGACACGGUCCAGACUCCUACGGGAGGCAGCAGUAGGGAAUCUUCCGCAAUGGGCGAAAGCCUGACGGAGCAACGCCGCGUGAGUGAUGAAGGUCUUCGGAUCGUAAAACUCUGUUAUUAGGGAAGAACAAAUGUGUAAGUAACUAUGCACGUCUUGACGGUACCUAAUCAGAAAGCCACGGCUAACUACGUG